Molecule: non-coding RNA, 108 nt
Filed under: uncultured Blautia sp.
Lineage: Bacteria; Bacillati; Bacillota; Clostridia; Lachnospirales; Lachnospiraceae
Description: FMN riboswitch (RFN element)
Rfam family: FMN riboswitch aptamer (RFN element)
About the family: The RFN element is a highly conserved domain that is found frequently in the 5'-untranslated regions of prokaryotic mRNAs that encode for flavin mononucleotide (FMN) biosynthesis and transport proteins.
Source: RNAcentral
UUCUUCGGGGCAGGGUGAAAUUCCCUACCGGCGGUGACAGUCCGCCCGCUACGGCGGUUGAAUCGGUGAAAUUCCGGUACCGACAGUAUAGUCUGGAUGAGAGAAGAA